Long non-coding RNA from Felis catus (domestic cat), 2673 nucleotides. RefSeq lists it as uncharacterized. The record is from RefSeq and is a predicted model, not a curated record. NCBI's taxonomy places the organism in Eukaryota, Metazoa, Chordata, Mammalia, Carnivora, Felidae. The transcript has 3 exons.
CUGAGCUCUGUCUUCCAGUGCUGAAAAACUCUCCCUCCCCGUGUCCUCUCACCCUCCCCGCUCUCCGAGAGCAGAGCUGUUCACCUUUAACAUUCCAGACGUUAAGUCCCGCUGGUGGCUGCCAGAACUCCUGCAGUCCAGCCCCUCCGCUUUUGCAAGCCAGACUUGGGGCUCUGCCUUGCUGCGCGGGCUGUCCUUCCACCGCCCGGCUCCCUCCCGCCAGUCCGUGUAGCGUGCACCGCGUCUCUGCCCUUCCUACCCUCUUCUGUGGGCCUCUUGUCUAUGCUUGGCUCUGGAGAGUCCGUUGUGCUAGUUUUCUGGCGGCUUUCUGGGUUAUUUAGGCAGGUGUGGCUGGAUCUAAGUGAUCAGCAGGACGAGGUGGCAGCAUCUGUGGAAGUAAGAGCAGGUUUGGCUGACUAAGAUUUUGUCACUGCUGUUACCAACAUCACCAUCAUCAUCACCAUCAGUAGCUAUAGCAUCAACAAACUUAACCUCUAUAUUAUCAAAAAGAACCACGAGCCUGGUGUAGGGAGGAGGCAAACUCUGAACAAGGAGUGGUCAGCAUCACUGUUUCCUCCUCUCUCUUCCUUCACCAUCCUGAUUACCAGGCACAGACCACUGGCAGCCUUCAGAAAUUGCAGAAGGGAGUAGACUCUUAGAGCCCCAGAAGAUGGUCAAGCAGAGCAAGUAGAGUGGGGACCAUAGAGGAGCUGAGAGAUAGAACAGCCUAGAAACUGUGGAGUCCCAAAGCAUAUACUGAACUGGGUCCUUUGGCAGAGACAUUUUUCCUAGAAGCAAGAUAAGGGACCAGGACACCUCUGAUUUCUUAGCAUAAAAAUAAUCUGAGAAAAAAGCUCCUGAUUCUAGGCUCUAGGAAUCUCCUGAGCGCUCUAUGGAACUCUGACCUGAGGAAACAGUGUGACUUUCUAGAAUUCAACGUACAAUGCUGAUUUGAAGAAUUCUGACAUCUCCACAGCACUUUCGAAUGUCAGAAGGCAUUCUAUCUACAAGAUAGGGACAAAGUGUGAAUCAAGGAAUUUAUAGAUUCAGAACAGCCAUCCUUCAACUAGAAAGACAACAUAACUCUGCUAUGUUGCAAGACUGCAGUGAUUUUGGCUUGAUGAGCUCUUCCUGAGGAAGUAACUAGAUGACCUCUAGCCUGUUAAGUGAUGUCAGAGGAAGCUCCAGAAAAUAUACUGAGGAAGAGUUGUCAGAUCAAAGACACAAUAAAAAAUGGGGGUAAUAAAAUUUCAUAAAAUAAUGUGCCUGACUUAGGACCAAUAUGUCACCAUUUUGUAAGAAUACAUGCAAGCAAAUUCGCCUGGAAAAAAAUUUUUUAAUUUAUAUUGGCUCAAAAAGAAAAAUUCAGCUCUUUGCUCUAUUCAAGAAAUGCAUCUAAAACCAAGUAAUUCAGAAAGUGGAAAAUAAAGGGCCAGAAGAAUGUACAUGAGGUAAAUGUAAACAGUAAGAAAGUAACAGUUGUCAUCUUGAUGGGAUUUUGGAGUGGUGGUAAGGGUCCUAAGCUGACAGCCAAGAAAAAAAAAUUCUUGAGACAUUUUUGGUGCAAAAAGGUGAUUUUUUUAAAGCAUGGGGACAGGACCCAUGGGCAGGAAGAGCUGUGCUGGGAUUGUGAAGAAAGACUGGUUAUAUACUUUGGAGUUAUAGACAAAAGAGAGGUCUCCAGAGGGACUUUGAUGUGCUAACGACAACUCCUAAAAUACCUGAGGCCUGCUAUUGUCAAGCUAAGGUGGUUUUCUUCUAGUAAGGUAUUAACAUUAGGACUGUGGGGGGGGGCGGUUCCUAGAGAAAUGUUAUACUCUGUAUUUGCAAGUAUUUGUCAGUGGGCCGCAGGUUAUAAGGAAAUUUAACUAUACCUACUGAUGAGGGAGAAUAAGGCAAGCUGAGGAUAAAAUACAAGCUAGCACCCCCUCCCCCAUGUGGGAUGUGUGUGAUAUUCCUCAGGCACUCCUGGCUGCCCAAGGACAAAGGAAAGGAAAGGAAACAAUUGGUUAACUGAUAGAGAUCACAGCCAUACAGGACAUGGGUCUCCAUCAGUUUACAAAUAUCUUAGUAAAUGAUAAGAAAAAGGCAAUCUUAUCAGAAGCUUAAUCUCCAGAAAUCUACAGACUCAGUUUCCUGGAGCCCCUAAUAUCACCCUCCCCUCCAUAGUGAUGUGGGGAACAAAGACAAGAAGGAAAUGGCAGGUAAAAGUAAAUUUCUUUAUAACCUGCAGCCCAUUGACAGAUACUUGAAGCAACAUUUCUCCAGGAACCCCCUACUGUCAUACUGUUAAUACGUUAUUAGAGGGAAAUCAACCUUAGGUUGACCAUAGCAAGGCCUCAGGUAUCUUAGGAGUCCUCUUUAGCACAUCAAAGUCCCUCUGGAGGCCUCCCUUCUGGCUUUACCUCUCCCAACUCUAGUAUAUAACCAGUCUUUCUUCACAACCCUAGUGCAGCUCUUUCUGCCCACGGGUCCUGUUGCUGUACUUUAAUGAAAUCACCUUUUUGCACAAAUAAACGUCUCAAGAAUUUUUUCCUUGGCUGUCAGCUAUGGACCAAUGAAAGGGCGGGCCUACGCCAGCCGACUCCAUCUUGUUCUGUGUCCUUCACCUUGACCACACCUCCUCCCCUUGACUCCAUCUUGUUCUGUGUCCUUCACCUUGGCCACACCUCC